This 497-nucleotide ribosomal RNA is filed under the name uncultured bacterium. RNAcentral describes it as "partial 16S ribosomal RNA". It matches the Rfam family "Bacterial small subunit ribosomal RNA", at positions 28 to 507 of the family's 1533-position model. The record is from RNAcentral.
GAUGAACGCUGGCGGCGUGCCUAAUACAUGCAAGUCGAGCGAACGGACGAGAAUCUUGCUUCUCUGAUGUUAGCGGCGGACGGGUGAGUAACACGUGGAUAACCUACCUAUAAGACUGGGAUAACUUCGGGAAACCGGAUCUAACACCGGAUAAUAUUUUGAACCGCAGGGUUCAAAAGUGAAAGACGGUUUUGCUGUCACUAAUAGAUGGAUCCGCGCUGCAUUAGCUAGUUGGUAAGGUAACGGCUUACCAAGGCAACGAUGCAUAGCCGACCUGAGAGGGUGAUCGGCCACACUGGAACUGAGACACGGUCCAGACUCCUACGGGAGGCAGCAGUAGGGAAUCUUCCGCAAUGGGCGAAAGCCUGACGGAGCAACGCCGCGUGAGUGAUGAAGGUCUUCGGAUCGUAAAGCUCUGUUAUUAGGGAAGAACAUAUGUGUAAGUAACUGUGCACAUCUUGACGGUACCUAAUCAAAAAGCCACGGCUAACUACGUG